AUUCAAAUAGCUUAAUUAAGAGCAUAAUAUUGAAGAUAUUAGGGUAACAUAAUGUUUUUG
RNAcentral lists this transfer RNA (60 nucleotides) under Parocyusa longitarsis. RNAcentral's name for it is "tRNA-Phe". Lineage: Eukaryota; Metazoa; Arthropoda; Insecta; Coleoptera; Staphylinidae. The record is from RNAcentral.